This 253-nucleotide ribosomal RNA is filed under the name uncultured bacterium. Its description in RNAcentral is "partial 16S ribosomal RNA". It matches the Rfam family "Bacterial small subunit ribosomal RNA", at positions 524 to 776 of the family's 1533-position model. The record is from RNAcentral.
UACAGAGGUCUCGAGCGUUAGGCGGAAUCACUGGGCUUAAAGCGUGUGUAGGCGGGCCGUUAAGUAUCUUGUGAAAUCCCCCGGCUCAACCGGGGAAUGGCUGGAUAUACUGGCGGUCUUGAGCGAUCUAGGGGCAGAUGGAACAAGUGGUGGAGCGGUGAAAUGCGUAGAUAUCACUUGGAACGCCAAAGGUGAAAACAGUCUGCUGGGGAUCUGCUGACGCUGAGACACGAAAGCCAGGGGAGCGAACGGG